Molecule: transfer RNA, 58 nt
Filed under: Dipodomys ordii (Ord's kangaroo rat)
Lineage: Eukaryota; Metazoa; Chordata; Mammalia; Rodentia; Heteromyidae
Rfam family: tRNA
About the family: Transfer RNA (tRNA) molecules are approximately 80 nucleotides in length. Their secondary structure includes four short double-helical elements and three loops (D, anti-codon, and T loops). Further hydrogen bonds mediate the characteristic L-shaped molecular structure. tRNAs have two regions of fundamental functional importance: the anti-codon, which is responsible for specific mRNA codon recognition, and the 3' end, to which the tRNAs corresponding amino acid is attached (by aminoacyl-tRNA synthetases). tRNAs cope with the degeneracy of the genetic code in two manners: having more than one tRNA (with a specific anti-codon) for a particular amino acid; and 'wobble' base-pairing, i.e. permitting non-standard base-pairing at the 3rd anti-codon position.
Source: Rfam by way of RNAcentral
UGGCUCACUGGUAGAGUGCUUGCCUUGCAUGCAUGAGGCCCUGAGUUCGAUUCCUCAG